Molecule: ribosomal RNA, 253 nt
Filed under: uncultured bacterium
Lineage: Bacteria
Description: partial 16S ribosomal RNA
Rfam family: Bacterial small subunit ribosomal RNA
Source: RNAcentral
UACGUAGGGUGCAAGCGUUGUCCGGAAUUAUUGGGCGUAAAGAGCUCGUAGGCGGCUUGUCGCGUCGUGUGUGAAAUCUCAGGGCUCAACUCUGACAUUGCAUACGAUACGGGCAGGCUUGAGUUCGGUAGGGGAGACUGGAAUUCCUGGUGUAGCGGUGAAAUGCGCAGAUAUCAGGAGGAACACCGGUGGCGAAGGCGGGUCUCUGGGUAGUAACUGACGCUGAGGAGCGAAAGCGUGGGUAGCGAACAGG